This 490-nucleotide ribosomal RNA is filed under the name uncultured Corynebacterium sp. RNAcentral's name for it is "bacterial SSU rRNA". It matches the Rfam family "Bacterial small subunit ribosomal RNA", at positions 8 to 507 of the family's 1533-position model. Lineage: Bacteria; Bacillati; Actinomycetota; Actinomycetes; Mycobacteriales; Corynebacteriaceae. The record is from RNAcentral.
AGAGUUUGAUCCUGGCUCAGGAUGAACGCUGGCGGCGUGCUUAACACAUGCAAGUCGAACGGAAAGGCCUGUACUUGUACAGGUACUCGAGUGGCGAACGGGUGAGUAACACGUGGGUGAUCUGCCCUGCACUAUGGGAUAAGCUUGGGAAACUGGGUCUAAUACCAUAUAGGACCACUUCUUGGAUGUUGUGGUGGAAAGCUUUUGCGGUGUGGGAUGAGCCUGCGGCCUAUCAGCUUGUUGGUGGGGUAAUGGCCUACCAAGGCGGCGACGGGUAUCCGGCCUGAGAGGGUGUACGGACACAUUGGGACUGAGAUACGGCCCAGACUCCUACGGGAGGCAGCAGUGGGGAAUAUUGCACAAUGGGCGCAAGCCUGAUGCAGCGACGCCGCGUGGGGGAUGACGGCCUUCGGGUUGUAAACUCCUUUCGCUAUCGACGAAGCCACUUGUGGUGACGGUAGGUAGAUAAGAAGCACCGGCUAACUACGUG